Molecule: long non-coding RNA, 1322 nt
Filed under: Fragaria vesca (wild strawberry)
Lineage: Eukaryota; Viridiplantae; Streptophyta; Magnoliopsida; Rosales; Rosaceae
Description: long non-coding RNA (FVES_LNC005131)
Source: RNAcentral
UGCACCAUCGAAACAUUUACCGGACGGCUACACUUGGAGAGGCCGAAGACGAGGAAGAGGAUGUUGCGUAUCAAGAGCCCAACGCAAUAGGUAUUCCUAACUCCUCUACCGUUCGCCUUAGUAAUUUUAAAGCGGGUCGUUCGGUGCGAAUUCGUGAUGAAGAGCCAAGGCUUAUUGAUGUUGAUCCAAAUCAAGAAACAGACGAAGACUCUGGCGAUGAGGAAAGACAUAUAUUACCAGAAAUUAAUUCUGACACCGAAGAAGACUCAUCGGAUGAUUCCGAUUACGUGCCUUAGUUUUAAUUUAGAGGUCGUAAUCCAUUAAUUUGUAUAACUAAAGACCUUUUCCUUUAUAGUUUACAUAUGUUGAAUUCAUAUUUCAAUUAUUUUAUAUGAAUUUUGGUGAUACAUGAUGAACAGGAAGUUAGUAUGGUUUACUAAUAUCGUCUGUUUUUUUUAAUGUAUUUUUUUCCUUAAGCCGACGAAAUACACUAUAAUUCGUCGGCUAAAACCAUCUUAGCCGACGAAUUAUAGUGUAUUUCGUCGGCUAAACCCAUCUUAGCCGACGAAAUAUACUAUAUUUCGUCGGCUAAAACCAUCUUAGCUAACGAAUUAUAGUGUAUUUCGUCGGCUAAUAAAGUUUUAGCUGACGAAUAACCUAAUAUUUCGUCGGCUUUAGUUAUUUUUUAAUUUUUUAAUUACAUACUAUAGCCGACGAAUACGUUAGGGUAUUCGUCGGCUAAAUUCUAAAAAUUUUCUAUUACCUACUAUAGCCCUAUCUUCGGUUGUUAUUUUCCAUAAAAUUUUUAGACGACUUCUUGCGUCUCAUCGGUUUGAAACUAUUUUCAGUUGGAGGUCCGGCCAAAAUACGUAAUUUAGACGGUCGAACGACCUUUUUCAUGCGUUUAGGGGUUUGACUUACGAGAUUUACCGUCCGGAUCGAGCCCCUAUUCUUGUCGGAUCAAGUUGAAUUUUUUCCCAUACAUGUAUUUUAUCAUGAUGGUCAGAUCUGACGGUCGGAUUUAUUUUUCUCAAGUUUGAUCAUCACAAUCACAAUGUGCCAAAUGUAUAAAAAUACUUUUAGCCGACGAAUUUCAAAGGUUAGCCGACGAAUUUCAAAGGUUUAGCCGACGAAUUUAUAAAGUUUAGCCGACGAAUUUCAAGGUUUUAGCCGACGAAUUUAGAAGGUUUAGCUGACGAAUUGAUGUAUAGCCGACGAAAUUCGUAUCUUUAGCCGACGAAAUAAUUAUUUCGUCGGCUCAAGUUUUCGGGUUUAACUGCGAAACCCUAGCCUCCUCCCUCCCUCCCUCUCCCGGUCCCGAU